Molecule: ribosomal RNA, 301 nt
Filed under: uncultured bacterium
Lineage: Bacteria
Description: partial 16S ribosomal RNA
Rfam family: Bacterial small subunit ribosomal RNA
Source: RNAcentral
CAGUAGCCGCGGGAAUACGUAGGUGGCAAGCGUUGUCCGGAAUUAUUGGGCGUAAAGGGCUCGCAGGCGGUUUCUUAAGUCUGAUGUGAAAGCCCCCGGCUCAACCGGGGAGGGUCAUUGGAAACUGGGAAACUUGAGUGCAGAAGAGGAGAGUGGAAUUCCACGUGUAGCGGUGAAAUGCGUAGAGAUGUGGAGGAACACCAGUGGCGAAGGUGACUCUCUGGUCUGUAACUGACGCUGAGGAGCGAAAGCGUGGGGAGCGAACAGGAUUAGAGACCCCAGUAGUCCCUGUCUCUUAUAC